This 465-nucleotide ribosomal RNA is filed under the name uncultured bacterium. RNAcentral's name for it is "partial 16S ribosomal RNA". It matches the Rfam family "Bacterial small subunit ribosomal RNA", at positions 28 to 507 of the family's 1533-position model. The record is from RNAcentral.
GACGAACGCUGGCGGCGUGCUUAACACAUGCAAGUCGAACGGAAAGGCCCUGCUUGCAGGGUACUCGCGUGGCGAACGGGUGAGUAACACGUGGGUGAUCUGCCCUGCACUUCGGGAUAAGCCUGGGAAACUGGGUCUAAUACCGGAUAGGAGCCAUUUUUAGUGUGGUGGUUGGUAAGUUUUUUCGGUGUAGGAUGAGCUGGCGGCCUAUCAGCUUGUUGGUGGGGUAAUGGGCUACCAAGGCGGCGACGGGUAGCCGGCCGGAGAGGGUGGACGGCCACAGUGGGACUGAGAUACGGGCCAGACUCCGACGGGAGGAAGCAGUGGGGAAUAUUGCACAAUGGGCGCAAGCCUGAUGCAGCGACGCCGCGUGGGGGAGGACGGCCUUCGGGUUGUAAACUCCGUUCGCUAGGGACGAAGCUUUUUGUGACGGUACCUAGAGAAGAAGCACCGGCUAACUACGUG